UUUUCUCCUCCUCCUUGCUUAUCUAGUAAUUUUCUUUCCUCUCUUAUCUCUUCAUAUCUUCUUUAUUGAUAUUAAGUUUUUGUUUUAUCUUUCGUAUUAUUCAUCCUUAUAUUUCUUGACUUGUUUGCCUAUUCUUUUUGAUAGCUUGAACCACUGGAAUGGUAGAAAAUUUCCUAGACCUAUUCCUAAUAUAUUUUACCUUAAUUAGCCCAUUUACUUUGUGAUUUUUCCCAUGUCUAGGCAUAUUGCCACUUCUAAAAUUUUCAUGAAAAUUUCUUGUGCUAGUGUGUCCAAUCGAACCACAUUCUUCCAUUAAGAAUUCAUUCCUCUUCAGUCCUAUCACAGAUCUAAAAGUUGAUCUUAAUACUUAAUAGUAUUGGACCUGACCUAUUGCUAUUUUUAGAUUUCAUCAUGAAUCCGAAUUCUUUUUGAAACCAGAAUGAAUAGAUGCAAUUCACUUGGUUUCAUACAAAAAUUUCAAUCCUUAUUCCCACAUUAAUAUCUUUUCCUUAAGCUAAAAUCUGAAAUCUAAUUUUCCAUAGUUAUAAGCUACCAUGGAUGUACUGCUGCAGAUGGUCAUAUUGGAUUGUGCAUAGUUUAGUAUAAAUGCAAAAUCUUACCAUCUAGAUCUUAAAAUAUACAGCAUAAUGUGGUCUAGAAUGUGGGUCAUUCUUGAUUUAUUUUUUGCAAUAUUCUCUUUGCGAGUAUGUAGUCUUUUCUCUUUUUGGUGUGAGUCUUGUGCUUGAUUCUUGAACCUGUUUAAGUCCACAUCUACUUGUUCUGCAGUUUGUAGCUGUUGCUCUUCCAUUAAAUAUUCUUUAACUGCCUGUUGAUUGUGAAUGUUGCAAUUAACUUGAGUUACUACUUACUACUGCUUGAUCUGGCCUUAGUUUUUGUGUAAAAGGCACCCACCUUGGUCGCCUAGGCGGAACCAAGGAUUUUUUCCCCUCCCUUUGUUGUGUUAUUCCAUCUCUUAGUGUUUAAAACAAUAAGAUACUAAAACCCACAUGGUAUGCACAUCUAGGUGACCAAGGUGACGCCUAGGUGCCCGGCCAACGCCUUGUGUUUCUGAGAUGACACUGGUAUUUUGCUAAUACCUACGUAGCUGGAUAUCAAAUGAAGAAUAUUAGUCAUUUAUUGACAUUUCUUAGUUGAUUAUUUCACCUCUUUAAUUAAUUUUGUUAAUUACCUGGGGGAAGUGAAAAUUGUUAAACCCUAGUUUAGCAAAUUUUUUGUCUUAAUUUUUUGUAUUAAAAUAGUCUUUGAAGAUGAUCACUAGACUAGAUAGUUGCAUAUUCCCUACAAGUUUGUUUUCUUUUAAUGCCUUUGUUAGAUGCUCGCAAUUCUAUGCCUUUUUGUACUCAUAAUGUGACAUCUGGUCUAGAGUUUGUUUGAUGAAUGCUAUCUUAACAGGAUGAUGGAUUCCAGUUUGACCUCAUGGGUCAUAUAAUGAAAAGUACCAUGGUAUCUUUUGCUAAUCUAUUUAGGCCUAAGAAGGUUUGCCUCAAAAGUUACUAUUUGGAAAAUGCAAUUUGCUUCUACUAUUUUAUCCCUUGUAGUUCCGUAAGAACCCACAAAUUAACUUAGUGGUUCUAGCUGCUAGAACUUACAGUUUUGAUACUUUUCUUGUUUGCAUUGCUAAUCCUUUCUUAUGCUUAGAUGUUGUCUUGAAAAUUUUGAGGUGUCUCUUUCACGUUUAAUUCAUAUAGGAUGGAUAUAUUAUCAUAGUAGUCCUCACUCUUUCAUUUCAGAAUGUUAUUGAAACAAAUUAGGAUCUGAAACCAGCAGCUGGAAAUAGAAGAGAGAAGAGACGAAGAGAGGUAGAGGGAGCAAUUUCUGAGCCACGAUAGAGUCACCUUGUGUUCUAUCAUGGGCUACUAUCUUUAUUAAUAAUAUUUAGUUAGCAGAUAAGAGUGGAUGUCUUUACAAUGACAGUUCUAAGAGUCGAUGUCUUAGUACAAUGAAGGGAAUAAAAUAAAAAGACUACUUUAAGAGACUCAAUUCACUGCAUGAUAACAAAGAAAAUAUUGGAUCGGCCAGAUUUAAACAAAUCUAGGUAAAUGUUCUCCAAUAACAUCAAUAACAACCAUCACUCUAUGCAAGUACCAAUUUUAAAAAAUUGCAAACCCAAACUGAUGUGAUCUAGGGUCCAAAACUCAAAAUUGGGUUCUAUGGGCCAAAACUGAUGAAGGGUUGUGGCAUUUGUGUUAGUGUCGGCUGGUUCCAGAUUGUUUGAAAGAAUAUUGUCUACAAUCUAGGAGUAGAUUUCUUCCAUUUUAGGAAAAUGAACGAAUAGCCGUCUUUUCCACGGUCGCCUUACACACUGAUCGAACUUACUCUCGAAUGAAAGUGUGAAUAGACUUUCAUUACCUUAUGCUGUUGUAGAUGGGCUUCGGGAUUGGCGUGGGGGCCUUACGUCGGUUCUGGUGAAACUCAAUUAUAAUGAAGGAAUUGAAAAACUACAAUUAAACUCAAUAUUCAAGGUGGUACAUGGUAAAUCAAAGGAGAAAGGACACAUAGGGUAUUAGGAUUUAUUGAUUGGGGAAGACUUGAAGGUGUUUUGAUAUUGAGGACAAAGGAGUAUAAAAGAAUAUAGGAGAGGGCACAAAUGGAACUCAAUUAAUAAAUUAAAGGAUAAAAAGAAUAAAAUGAGGAAAGAAGUACUUAAAAGAGUGUAACUUGACUGUCUACACCUUUUUUAUUUUUGGAUUAAUAAAUAAUUCAUUACCAGAAGGAGAAGAAUAUACAGGGGGGAAAAGGGGGGGUGGAGAUGCCUAAGCCAACAGGGAAAGGCAAGCCCCAAGGGGGAACAACAAAAACAAAGAGCAAAAACACAAUAGCUCAAAAGUGACAAAAGGGGCUAAGGCGGGGUGGGGGGGGGAGUCAAACAUGAUGGAUUAGGUCCACCUAUAAGUUCCAGAAGGAGAUGAUGUGGGGAUUUUUUUGGGAUAUGGGAAUAAGGAGGGAGAGGGGGCUAAGGAGGCUUUGGACUUUGGAGGUAACAUCAAAGUAGAUAGCUUUCCAAAUCUUGUCCAGAGUCCUAAAUUUGGGGGACCAUCUAUGAAUGUUAUGCUCCAUCCAAAGGUCAUUGAUGGUGGCACAAAAAGCAAGUUUAACUAUCGCGUCACAAAUGGAAGGGCUAGGGAAAGUCAUAUCGAUCUAGAUACAUUCUCUAUUGAAGGGAAGGAUAGGUCUAGAAUUCGGCCGGCAUUUUGACAUCGUUAAUUUCCAAACCGUGGCAGAGAAGGGGCAGAAGAAGAAGAGAUGGGGGAUGUCUUCAACCCCCGAGGGACAGAGACAACAAGCAAGGUUGACUAAGAUACAAUGAUAGAUAAGGAAGAAUUGAGUAGGGAGACAGUUGGUAAGACAUCUCCAAAGGGUGAAGGAUCAAGAAUGUGACCCUUAAACCAGACUAUCUUGUGCCAAGAAGCGACCACUGAAGGGAGUCUAAUGUGUGACCAAUAUGAGGCGGAGGAGAAGAUCCCAUUGGAGGAGGAGAGCCAAAUGCAAAUAUCAACUCUAUCUUUAUGGCCAGGGGGAGAGGAGGGAGAGAGGACCAGAGGUCAGUAAGGAGCAGGGGGAGGAGGGGGGAGACAAACCUAAGGGUGAAAGAAUAGUGGAGACCAUGGCUAUAGAAGAGAGACCAGAGGAGUAGAUAACUCUACGGGUAAGGAGGUGAGAAAGGAUACUUGAAGGGUGCCAGGGAUCCUUCCAAAGGGAGGUGGAGAGACCGAUGCUAAUGGAGUGCGAGAUGGUAGAGAGGGCAACUAGCCUGUGCUCAAGGAUCUUCCUCCAUAUCCAGGAGGCAUUUAGAAUGAAAGGGGCCGUCCAAAUGGGGUUGUGUUUUAGAAGACCAGAGUAAAUCCAGUCAACCCAGAUGCUUUAGUGCUUGGACACAAUUUUCCAUACGAGUUUAAGGACACCAACAGUAUUGGCAUCCUUAAUUCUCCUAAUACCAAGGCCACCUUUGGAUUUGGGAUAAUAGACUUUUUCCAAUUGAGAGGCCUGAGGAAUCUGGAGGGCCAGAGCCUUUCCAAAGGAAAGAGGAAAGAAGACCUUCAAAAGAUUUGGUAAUCGAGGCUAGAAGGAUGAAGGUGCAAGACCAAUAGAGGUACAGAGAUUGGAGGACCGAUCUAAUCAAUGUAAAGCGGCCAAUGAAAGAGAGGAGUUUUCUUUUCAACUCCUCUCUUUCACUAUCUAUAUACCUUAUCAAUUAUGAAAUCAACAAUCCUAGCAAGAGGGACAGAACAGAUGGUAGUAAGAGACCAACAAAUCUUGGGUUUGUUAAAGAUCACGUACUAAGGGUACUUUGGGUAUUAGGUUAUUAUGCUGUAUGUGCAUUUACUUUUAUGCCUUUUAACUUCUCUUGGCUAUCUUAUGUUAGCAUGAAGGGUAGAUAAACAAUUUCCUUUAUGACGCUAAGUGCAUCAAUAUAGGGGGAGAGGGGGAGAGAAAUCUAUUCUCUCACACAACACAUUAUCAUCAAUAUAGGGGGAGAGAAAUCUACCUCCUACUUUCAUCUUCUCUCUUCUUCUCUUGUACUCUUGCAACCCUUAUAUUCCAACUUGGUGUUAGAGCCCACGGUUUUGGUUUGAGAGUCGUGCUAUAAGUUCUCCAUAGUUGGUAAUAGUAUUGAUGGAUGGCUAUUAGUUACAGUAAAAGAAAAUUACCAUGUUAAAGAAUCAGAUUGAAUCGGAUUUGUGAGUUGUCAACCAUACAUAACUAUGUCAAUGGUAUAUUCCUCAACUUGUUUCUAAUAUUUUUUUUCCCUUUUUUAUAUAAGGGAAGGCAGAAACUCUGUCCAAAGUCUAUCAAAAGAAAAUAAUGGCAUAGAUGGUUCUAAGACCUAAAUGUAAGGAUGGAUUCAGUUGUUCUUAUUUCCUCCUUAGUUCAACAGAGAUUUCCACCAUUUUGAUCCUACUUGAGUUUGUGUCAAUUACUCAUCUGCCAUUUAUCUUCCUCCCUUUUUGUUAGAUGAAAACUAUAUCAUUUUUUCGAACUGAUGGAAUUCUUUUUGUUUUAGAUAGUGAAUUGUGGGAUUUUGGUGAAGUUGCAAAAAUGGGCGUCAGGUAAAUGCAUCAUAGUUCAAUCUUUAUGGGACUGGGAUUGGGCUAUGUCAGUAUUCUGUAUGUUCCUGACAUUUUACUUAUUGGCAUAUACUAGGAAGCCAGUCUUUAAAAGUUUGGACUCGCUUCCUGAAUAUAUUUAUUUGCCACUCAACUCAACCAUAUUUAUUUGAAGCUAAUAAAAAGGAAACAUAUUAUAAACUUAUUUCCAUACUCUUGGUUAUGUGAAAACAUGUAGAUUUCAUAUUUCCUGCGUGAGAAUAUUUGUAGAUCUUUCCCGUAAAGCACUGAGAGAUUGUUCUUCGCCCCAACAAAACGUACAUUGCCACUUUUGGUGCUGAUUUUCCAUAAAAAAUUGGUUAAAUUUUUUAUGGAACUUAAUGUCAACAAUAGAGCUAGAUUGAACACCUGGUUGGCACUUCCAAACUACUCAAUGAGUUUGCUAGGGUUCAGAAAGGGGUCUACCAGAGCUCAUGAGGCAAUCUCUGAAAAUUCCUCUGAUGAGCCCAAACCUCCUAUUGAACAGCCAUGAAAGCCGAGCUUGAUAACAAGUUGGGGGGGGGGAUGAUAUCAUUACUCUAUCUCUAUGGAUUUAGGGUGAUGACUAAAUGAUGAUUGUCCAUUCUCUCACAAUAGUACCCUCCUCCAUGCUCUUUGACUGUAUCAUGCGCCAUUUUUACCAUGAUUGUAUCACUCGACUAGAUAGCUAGAAAACCUAUCAAGACCUCUUUGCAGAUUCCGUGCCUGAGCUCCUCAAUUGCUUGUGUGACUGAUGAUUUAUUUUCAUCUUUGAACCAAAUUGGUUUUCCUUAAAAAUUGGAUUUCCAUUAUGAUUUAUCAAUAUUUAAUCUAUAUUAGACUUAGUAGAAUUUAUCUCGUUUUUCAUUUUUCUUGCAAGUGCCCAGUAGAUUGCUCUUUUUUUAACAUUUUUUUUUCUUUUUUUACUUACAGUCUUAUAAGAAACUGAAUAUAAGUUUUUCAUUUGCUAAAGAAAGGUAGUUCUAGCCUUUCCUUUUCCUUAAAUUUACUCACCCGGUGAAGAAAAUAAAGAGGAUAUUUGCAAAAUUUCUAUUUUAAUUUGUUUCAUGAACCAGUCAUUUUUUAUUUUGGAUGUAGCUUUCAUGGUUUCAUUAUGAUUAUUACAUGCUUCCUAUUCCCUUGAAACUAAUUUUCCAUAUUUAUUCUUUCUCAGAUGACAAAAUCUGAAGUUUUAAUGCAUAAUCGUAUACCUAUUGGAUAUGCUUCAUGCCCCACACAAACAAUGAUGAUGCAGGUACAAUCGUGCCUAUGGCUAGGGACUCUCUUUCUUCCAGACCUGAGUAUGGAGUGAGCAAUUGGUAGAUGCCGAAAGCUGAGGAGCAUGGCUAGGACUGUGCUUGUGAUUAUUGAAGUGUUUCGCGUAUUUUUGAUUAAUUUGGUACAAGCUUGUGUAUGGUACAUUUUGAACCUAUUAGAUAUAAGACAUGGAUGAUUGUAAACGGAAUAACUCGGUUAUGGAUAUUAUUUAUCGUUAGAUAUUUUCCCCAUUUUAUUGAUGAUUCCGCUAUUAUACUCU
Long non-coding RNA from Macadamia integrifolia, 6621 nucleotides. RefSeq lists it as uncharacterized. The record is from RefSeq and is a predicted model, not a curated record. The transcript is spliced from 2 exons. Lineage: Eukaryota; Viridiplantae; Streptophyta; Magnoliopsida; Proteales; Proteaceae.